GACGAACGCUGGCGGCGUGCUUAACACAUGCAGGUCGAACGGAAAGGCCCUGCUUUUGUGGGGUGCUCGAGUGGCGAACGGGUGAGUAACACGUGAGUAACCUGCCCUUGACUUUGGGAUAACUUCAGGAAACUGGGGCUAAUACCGGAUAGGAGCUCCUGCUGCAUGGUGGGGGUUGGAAAGUUUCGGCGGUUGGGGAUGGACUCGCGGCUUAUCAGCUUGUUGGUGGGGUAGUGGCUUACCAAGGCUUUGACGGGUAGCCGGCCUGAGAGGGUGACCGGCCACAUUGGGACUGAGAUACGGCCCAGACUCCUAAGGGAGGCAGCAGUGGGGAAUAUUGCACAAUGGGCGGAAGCCUGAUGCAGCAACGCCGCGUGCGGGAUGACGGCCUUCGGGUUGUAAACCGCUUUCGCCUGUGACGAAGCGUGAGUGACGGUAAUGGGUAAAGAAGCACCGGCUAACUACGUG
This 468-nucleotide ribosomal RNA is filed under the name uncultured bacterium. RNAcentral describes it as "partial 16S ribosomal RNA". It matches the Rfam family "Bacterial small subunit ribosomal RNA", at positions 28 to 507 of the family's 1533-position model. The record is from RNAcentral.